Long non-coding RNA from Hyla sarda, 357 nucleotides. RefSeq lists it as uncharacterized. The transcript has 3 exons. The record is from RefSeq and is a predicted model, not a curated record. NCBI's taxonomy places the organism in Eukaryota, Metazoa, Chordata, Amphibia, Anura, Hylidae.
CAACUAUUGAGGCACUUCUGUCCUUGUACCUCCCCAGAAAACAGGUCAUGACUGCGUCCAAUAAUUGUGUCUACAUCCAUUAGCAGGCUUCCUUCUUACGUCAAUAGUACAGAGCGAACACCUUCCUAUGGCAGAGGUAACGUAAUGUAGCAGACAGCCAACCUAAGAUGACCCUGAAAUUCUAUAGUGACUUUAUGCAUUGAAAGCUGUACACAGCGUACAACAUAUAAGGCAGUGUAUCAUUGUGCAGACGGCUGAAGGGACCUGUCUGGAGAACGGCAUAUCCUUGCCUCCAUAUGGGGCUAUAACAUGCAAUCUUUUAGGCUUGGAGCAAUAGAAGACCGAUCGGACACUGAG